UGGCGAGCGUUGUCCGGAAUUAUUGGGCGUAAAGGGAGCGCAGGCGGGAAGGUAAGUCUCUCUUAAAAGUGCGGGGCUCAACCCCGUGAGGGGAUGGAAACUAUCUUUCUUGAGUGCAGGAGAGGAAAGCGGAAUUCCUAGUGUAGCGGUGAAAUGCGUAGAUAUUAGGAGGAACACCAGUGGCGAAGGCGGCUUUCUGGACUGUAACUGACGCUGAGGCUCGAAAGCGUGGGGAGC
RNAcentral lists this ribosomal RNA (237 nucleotides) under uncultured bacterium. RNAcentral describes it as "partial 16S ribosomal RNA". It matches the Rfam family "Bacterial small subunit ribosomal RNA", at positions 532 to 769 of the family's 1533-position model. The record is from RNAcentral.